CGUUGUUCGGUAAUUUUAAUUUUGUUGUAAAUAAAAAUGGAAAAGAAUCUUCAGGACAAAACCCUAUUACUUAUCCCCUUCGAAUGUGUUCGUCAUACACAUACAACAUUCUCGGAAGACCAGGUUCGUUUCCAAUUCAAAUUUUGUAUUUAAAGAUUCAACCCUACAUAUUUAGUUUACUAUAAUAUACUUAGCUAUAAUUUGUCGCGCUUGAGAUACGUAGAUGCCGGGUUGCCAGUUAUUAAUAUCUGUAGGAAAUCAUUUUAGGAUUGGAUAAAAGAUGGCGGUAAUGAUUUAUAAACUUUAAGGUCUUUAAGUUGGUAUGGUAAAAUGUCAGAUAUGAUGAUAAGGUAAAUUUGGAGUUUUUGAGGUUUCGAGGUGACGAAAUUCCGUCGACUCGGCCAUUUCGCAAACGAUUCGGCUGGUAUCCAGAAGUGUAGUGGCUCGCGUGUGAACUUUUUCCUUUAGUUCUUUGGACAAGUUCCUUUUCAUUUAACUUUUUCCUUCAAACCUAUUUAAGUUCUACGGUUUGCGAACCGUUCUUUUUCAUCGAGUCACCUUUCUGUGUGACCUUUCUUUACAUACCAAGAAGCGCUCGUUCAACGGGCGCUUGGUAUAGGCUGGUUUUUUCUCAUACCCGUUUCUGCGGAAACGAUCCCGACGGUGGAACUCUCCACGUGGUUUUGCGAAACCUAACCUCCAAUUCGGAACCGAUCCUGCAACCGGGCACCCCUCGUGUCCCCUGCUCCACUCGUGCGUGCUGCUAAGGCCCGCCUUUCGAGGCAGUCAAACGGAGGUCGAGGUAAUUCGCUAAAGUUAUCGUUUGCGAGAUACCCAUCGGUCGCCAAUUGCCGAUUGGAAGUUAGGAUCCCAACCCGCUACAACCCCCCUCGUGGAUCCGCCGAGAGCGUACGCCGACAAAUGCGUACAAUAAAGUGUCUGGAUUCGUUUGAGUUUUAACUUAAAGCCUCCAAUGGUGGGGUGUUCGUUUGCUCUUACUUGACGACGACACUGUCCGGACCUGCGCCGACCUCGUGUCGAACGCGCCGCGCGGCACUCCGUGCCGAACGCGCCGAGCUUAGCUCGUGUAAAGCUCUCGAGUAACAACCCGAAGAAAUCGGAAGUCUUCCGUCCAGCCGAGCCUCCCUCCGCAACUUUAAGUACGGCCAUACGCGCACGAGCACACCGGCUGUCGCCCAAGUUCAGCCCUGGAGUCCCGCUCCACCUUAACAAACUCAUCGCGCCGAGGAUAAACAUCGCGGCGAAUCGAAGAACCCCUCGCCGAAGCUGCCAGCAUUACCAGGACGCAGCCAUCGCCGCCGCCGUCACCGCUGCUGUGGUUGCCGCGGUCACCACCACCAACGUACGCAACGCAUCAUAAACCCUGCGCAGGUAUGCUAGUAUUAGUCAUGGCCAUGUACAAUACGAGUUUUCCCCCUAUGCCACCCCGCUUAACCGAACGAGACUUUUCUUUAGCAUAAUGUAAAUACACUGUGAAAUGAAUUCACCCAUUCCUCUUUGGUAUUAAAGAUAAAUUAAAUUUCCCAUUGAAAUGCCUUGAAUAAAUCACCGUUUUUCCUUACGUUUUACCUAGUUCUCUUUUUAUUACCUUAUUUACCUUUUCCGUUAAUUUCCGUUCCAAAAAGCCAACUGUUCGAAAGCCACUUUAUUCGAAAAGUUUAGUUAUUUAGAUACAUUUACCAAACCAACUUUCUGACACGUUAAAGCCAUUUGUAUUAAGCACCAAGUUUCGACUCCGACCAUCGACCCUGAGAGCAAAGUCGGGCAAAAUCACAACACGACGGGUGGUCUCUUGUUAACAGCAAGAGUGGCGCAUAAGCCACUGCGUUUAAUCAAACAAAACUUUCAUCGUACGUUUAGGUCGGUUACAUUGGCGCCCAACGCAAAA
Culex pipiens pallens (northern house mosquito) is the source of this 1909-nucleotide long non-coding RNA. RefSeq lists it as uncharacterized. NCBI's taxonomy places the organism in Eukaryota, Metazoa, Arthropoda, Insecta, Diptera, Culicidae. The transcript is spliced from 3 exons. The record is from RefSeq and is a predicted model, not a curated record.